RNAcentral lists this ribosomal RNA (371 nucleotides) under uncultured organism. RNAcentral's name for it is "bacterial SSU rRNA". It matches the Rfam family "Bacterial small subunit ribosomal RNA", at positions 526 to 896 of the family's 1533-position model. The record is from RNAcentral.
CGUAGGUGGCAAGCGUUGUCCGGAAUUAUUGGGCGUAAAGGGCGCGUAGGCGGUCCCUUAAGUCAGAUGUGAAAUCCCGAGGCUUAACCUCGGGCGUGCAUUUGAAACUGGGGGACUAGAGUGCAGGAGAGGUAAGUGGAAUUCCUAGUGUAGCGGUGAAAUGCGUAGAUAUUAGGAGGAACACCAGUGGCGAAGGCGACUUACUGGACUGUAACUGACGCUGAGGCGCGAAAGCGUGGGGAGCAAACAGGAUUAGAUACCCUGGUAGUCCACGCUGUAAACGAUGGAUACUAGGUGUGGGAGGUAUCGACCCCUUCCGUGCCGCAGUAAACGCAAUAAGUAUCCCGCUGGGGAGUACGGCCGCAAGGUUG